GAAGUAUGUUAUGUGGUUGUAUUUUGAAUUUUAUUAAUUUUGGUUAUUCUGAUUACAUUUACACCAUUUGAUAAAAAAAGUCGUCUAAUAAGCCAUGAAACGUAUUUUUAAAAUAAUUAUGUUGGCAUUUGACAGUAACUAUUGUGUGCUAUGCCUUAACAAUAGAACACUCUGUAUAGUUGAAAACAAUUUUGGUAUAUGCUCCUCAAAGAACUACAACUUAUAGUCUUGUACCUUUUUUAAAAUGUUGAAACAUUGGAAAAUUGAAAACUCGAAAAAUUGAAGUCGAAACAUUUUAAAAAUUGAAAAAUCGAAAAUUUAAAAAGUCGAAAAACCGAUUAUUCGAGAAAUUUGGAAAUCGAAAAAAAGAUCGAGAAAGCGAGAAGUCGAGAAGUUGAAACAUUGAAAAACUGAGAAAUCAAGUAGGCCAAAAAUGAAGAAUUCAAAAUUCAAAAAUUUAAACUUAAAAAACCCGACAUCGAAAAAUUUUAAUUUCGAAAUAUUGAAACACCGAAAAAUCUAAAAGCGAUGAAUCGAAAAAUCCAAAGAUUGAGAAAUCGAAACAUCAAAAAAAUGAAAAAUGUAAAAUUUAAAAAUUUUAAAAAAAUUUGAAAAAUAGGCAAAGCGGGAAAUCGAAAUACCUAAAACUUUACAAAUUGAAAACCCAAAGAAUCUAAAGUUUUAAAAAUUGAAAAAGUAAAAAAUCAAAUAAUCCACAAAUUGAAAAACCGAAUUAUUAAAAAUCUCAAAAUCGAAGUCAAAAAUUAAAAAAAUCGAAAAGUUGAAAAAUCGGAAAACUGAAAAACGAGAAGUCGAAACGACAAAGCGAGAAGCAAAAAGUUGAAAAAUUGAGAAAUCUAUAGUAUGUAAUCCAAAAUCGAAAAAUUCAAAAUUGAAAAAUUUAAAUUUAAAAACCGAAAAACAAAAAAAUCAAAAAAUUGAAAAACCGAAAAAUCUAAAAGCGAGAAAUUAAGAGAUCGAAAGAUUCAGAAAUCUAAACAAAAAAGUGAAAAACCUGGAAUUAAAAAAAAAGAAAAAUAGAAAAACUGAAAAACUAAAAAUUAAAAAAAAAACAAAUAGAAAAAUCCAAAAAUUAGAAAAUCGAAAAACCGUGGAAUUAAAACAUCAAAAGAUCGAGAAAACGACAAGUCGAGAAGUUGAAAAAUCUAAAAAUUGAGAAAUUGAGAAGCCCAAAAUCGAAAAAUUCAAAGCUGAAAAAUUUAAACGUAAAACCUAACAAAUCGAAAAUUUUAAAUAUCGAAAAAUUGAAAAAUCAAAAAACUGAUAAAUCGAAAAAUGUGAAAUUUAAAUAUUAAAAAAAAAAAAUUAAAAACAUACGAUCGAAAUGCCUAAAAUUUAAAAAAUCGAGAAAGUAAAAAAUGUAAAAAUUGAAAAAGUAAACAAUGGAAAAAUGGAAAAUGUAAAAUUUAAAAAAUCGAAAAAUUGAAGAAUCGAAAAAUGUAAAAACAAGAAAUCGAAACUUCGAAAGAUCCAGAAAUCGAAACAUCAAAAAAAUCAAAAACCUAAAAUUCAAAAAAUUGAAAAAUCGAAAAAGUAAAAAAUCAAAAAACCGAUCAUUCGAGAAAUUGAGAAAUCGAAAAAAGAUCGAGAAACUGAAGAAUCUAAAAAUUAGAAAAUCGAAAAAUCGAAACAUCAAAAGAUUGAGAAAGCGAGAAGUUGAGAAAAGUUGAAAAAUCGAAAAAUUGGGAAAUCGAGUAGCCCAAAUUGAAAAAUUCAAAAUUUGAAAU
This is a long non-coding RNA of Zophobas morio, 1748 nucleotides long. RefSeq lists it as uncharacterized. The record is from RefSeq and is a predicted model, not a curated record. The transcript is spliced from 2 exons. Lineage: Eukaryota; Metazoa; Arthropoda; Insecta; Coleoptera; Tenebrionidae.